CAGUGAAUAUUCCCGCUACUCUUAAUUUGGAAUAAUUGGGACAGGCUAAACAUUUGCUAUAUAAAAACAUGCACGUGUCCACAGACUUAGUGCUUUCCCUAGGUUUGGUUUUAUAAAUGCUGGUGAUAAGC
This is a small nucleolar RNA of Otolemur garnettii (small-eared galago), 131 nucleotides long. Its record names the gene SNORA72. It matches the Rfam family "Small nucleolar RNA SNORA72". From Rfam's summary of the family: U72 is a member of the H/ACA class of snoRNAs. The snoRNA gene is located in intron 4 of the ribosomal L30 protein gene in human, mouse and chicken. Lineage: Eukaryota; Metazoa; Chordata; Mammalia; Primates; Galagidae. The record is from Ensembl.